GAUGAAGAACGCAGCGAAAUGCGAUACUUGGUGUGAAUUGCAGAAUCCCGUGAACCAUCGAGUCUUUGAACGCAAGUUGCGCCCGAAGCCAUUAGGCCGAGGGCACGCCUGCCUGGGCGUCACACGUCGUUGCCCCCCCAUCUACUCCUUCGGGAUUGCGGGGGGCGGAUGAUGGCCUCCCGUGCGCCUCGUCGCGCGGUUGGCCUAAAUGCCAAGUCCUCGGCGACGCACGCCACGACAAUCGGUGGUUGCGAAACCUCGGUUGCCUGUCGUGUGCGGUCGUCGCGCAUCGAGGGCUCGAAAAAAUUGCCGGGUUCCGGCUCGGCUUUCAACGCGACCCCAGGUCAGGCGGGGUUACCCGCUGAAUUUAAGCAUAUCAAUAAGCGGAGGA
Molecule: unclassified non-coding RNA, 391 nt
Filed under: soil metagenome
Description: partial contains 5.8S ribosomal RNA, internal transcribed spacer 2, and large subunit ribosomal RNA
Rfam family: 5.8S ribosomal RNA (bases 1-122)
Source: RNAcentral